Molecule: transfer RNA, 87 nt
Filed under: Actinacidiphila guanduensis
Lineage: Bacteria; Bacillati; Actinomycetota; Actinomycetes; Kitasatosporales; Streptomycetaceae
Description: Streptomyces guanduensis tRNA_Ser_GCT
Rfam family: tRNA
About the family: Transfer RNA (tRNA) molecules are approximately 80 nucleotides in length. Their secondary structure includes four short double-helical elements and three loops (D, anti-codon, and T loops).
Source: RNAcentral
GGAGAGGUGCCCGGAGCGGCUUAUCGGGGACCACCGCAAGGAGGUCGGGCCUCACAGCCCGCGCAGGUUCGAAUCCUGCCCUCUCCG